RNAcentral lists this long non-coding RNA (8401 nucleotides) under Triticum aestivum (bread wheat). Its description in RNAcentral is "long non-coding RNA (TAES_LNC016585)". The stretch from base 7255 to 7341 matches the Rfam family "MIR1120/MIR1122 microRNA precursor family". Lineage: Eukaryota; Viridiplantae; Streptophyta; Magnoliopsida; Poales; Poaceae. The record is from RNAcentral.
AUUCCUAAAAGUAGGAAUUGCAAUUAAACCACUUAAACCACUAUUUCAAAAUUUGUACCAUGAUCUAAAGGGUGUCACAUGAUUCAUGUUAGUCAAAUUUCUGUGCCAGAAUGCCUCAACACACGUACCCCAGAUCUGAAACAUGAUUAACUUAAGUGUAAACACAAGAAUGUGUAAUGUCUGGACAGAUUUAGCCAAACAGAAGAAGAAUAUCAGCUCCCCCCUCUCCAGUUAAUGUCGGCGUCUAGAAAAGGGUAAAGCGCAGCUCUUGACAAACUUAGCACUAACCAAAUGUGGCAAGAGGGGGACAGGUCCGAAAACAAGGCCUUAACACAAACAUGAUUAGUAACCCUCGAUACUGAUUUUCCCGUCUGGGAUGAAGAUCGGUAGCAGCGCCUGCACCAACGUACCGAUCCUAGGAUCAUCUUUGCUGCAGCAUAUCUUGAUUCUCUCGAUACGAGGAUAGCCCCUGAUUGCCGGUGCUUGCCUUGAUGGUAAUGAAGCAGAUUCAACCUCCUUGCGUGUUUCACAGUGCUCCUGCGGCGUGUCAAAACCACACGGGAGUAUCAGCUUUGAUCAUUCUGAUGCUGUAGCAAAGCAGUGCCAGCUAGACAUACAUAUCUGGGAGAAGUAUUACCAUCUUGAGCUUAACAGUUAGCUCUUUCAGCAUGGGCGGGCGAUGGACAAUACGGAACAGUGGGUAGAAGUCAGCAGCCAUGCACCAAUCACCCAGCACCAAGCUCGUCAGAUUGCUAAACAUCGGGCAUGCUUGCAAACCCCUCUCGAAUGUGAGCUUCACAAGCAAUAUGAUCAUGUUAAGGAGUUGAAAAUAGAGCAAGCUGAAUAGUUAAUGAUACAAUAUUUCCAUGCUAGCUUGCCAACAUAUAGUAAAGAGUACAUAAUCACUUCAAAAAGUAGAUUGUGUCUGACUUUAAAACUAAGAAGCGACUAAUUCGGCAUGCAAAUAUAUUCACCUACGAAUAUGAAAAGGAAAAUAACCCAUCAGUACCUCAGGUAACGGUGCAUGCAACUCCAAUGUUGUGGCAUGUGAAAGGCCAUCAAGUAGAUGAUGAUCUACUUCUGUGUUAUCAUCAUAAUGAAACUCAGACCCUAGACUAAGCGAAGCUGACACUAGAGAAGACAGAUCCCAGGUAACUAUAGCACCACGACGACAUUCUGGGUCAAUGACAGAGAGAUGGGUAAGCUUCCUAGCACCAAUCAGGAGAUCAUUGCCAAUGAUGCAGUCGAUGAUAUGUAGAACCUUGAGUGAGCUCGAUGAGAUCCUCCUUGUAUCGAGAAUGCAACACUCCAACUCUAGAUGUUCGAGCACAGGCCAGUCAUAAUUCAGCGGCUUAUCGAACCAAUCGUUCAAACGGACAUACCAGAGCCUGAUUCUUUUGAGGUACAGAGAAGGAAACAUUGCUGUGCUAUCCAAAAUCAGAUGGUGGUGAAAUCCAGAAAUAUGAAGGAGACGAACUUUGUGCUUGAUGGCAUGACGAAUCCACACAGAACUCUUCUUACUACUGCGAGUCGUGAUGACGACCCGGACCUCAUCCAAGGAAACAGUGCCGUCACGCAAGAGCAGCAAGUGGUCCACGAAGUUCUCCAGCUUGUGGUUAUCAAAGCAAGCAAUGCCCACAUCAUUUUUAACCACGAAGUCUUUGUUGUUGAUGUGGAUAAAUGGAACAGAGCUCCAGAGAUUGCGCCACCUUGGUGAGAGAAGACUUGUGCGCACGACCUCCGGCGUCGGCAGGAAGGACAUCACGUGGUGGAGCAGAUCGUCGGACAGGCUGCUGAGCCUGUCGAUACCGUUGUCGUUGCCUCGCACACUCUUGGAACCACAGGGAAUGGAUGCUGGUGCCGACAUUUUAUCAAACAGGAUGGCUGCAUAAAUCAACAAAAGGCAAAGCGAAUGCAUAUAUAAUCAAAAUCACAGAUAUACACAUUGAAGAAAUCCUAGAUACACACGAUGAGAUGAGAUGAUUCCAUACACGAGACUGUUUCAAUCUUGAAGCAACUGUACUGGCAAUCACACAAUGCGACCUUGUGUAAAAGGAUACAGUCUAGGAAAGGAAAAAACAUAUGCAGCCUCGAGCAAAAUUCUGUGGAAAAUUUCAGCUGUAAAUGCCAACAUCCUUCUACAUUUGUGUCUAUGGCAUUUCUUCCGAGCAAACUUCUAAGCAAAAUAAAUCUGGACUGGGUUAGCAAGUAGCAACAUUCCGUUACUUGAAUGGAAAUAUUGAUUCUUGCACUGAAAAGAAAGAGGUAGGGGGAGAAUGACUUCAACGCACUAAUAGGAAUUUUGCUAAGCAAUUAUGUUGUCUAAGAUAUUGAAAUAAUCCAAUAAUCACUGCUAUAGCUUCACAAAGUAUUUUUGUAUUCUUCAAAACAUUUCACUUUGAAUUACAGCAGUCAAUGAUUGACGACAGUUAAACAUAAGCUCAACAGUAGUAGCAAAAAUGGUGGUAGUUGCAGAGUAUGGUAGUCAGUUUGCAACAAACAGAAUUUUGUGCCCACUUCAUCUGGCUACAAAAAGGGGAAUGUGGUGAUCAUAAUGUUAUUUCACAUAAAUCUGUAAAAUAACUUAACAGUUCAUGCACUCACUUUAGUAUCUUUGCAAAUAAUCCAAAGAUUGACCAAAUUACGCAAGAGCUAGCAAUCUCUAGGUAACACCAAUGGCACCAUUCUGCAAAUACUGCAUCUGGCGUGCACACGCACAAGUGAUUAGCUACUUCUGCUGACCUCUUAAACUGGUUCGUCUAGAAAUAGCUAGGGUUCUGCACUCCGAUUUCCGCUGGUAGAAACUGCAGAUGUACUGACCUAACAGUCGGGGAGGUGGUACAGCGGUGGUGGUGCCCGAUGACUCGGUCGAGGCGUCGGCGAUGCGGCCGCAGCCGGAGGCGGCGCAGCGAGCCGUCGAGGAGGGCGGCGGCGCGGCGCAGCCGCGAGAAGCAACUGUUGUCUCGCUCUCACUCACUUCAUUCGCGUGCUACGGCGGCGACUGGCUGCCCUUCUACUUUUUUUUUUUGAGGGCUAGGCUGCCCUUCUACUGAGGCACUGGGUCAGCGACAAUAAUUGGGCCCAAUAUGGUCUGGCCGACGAAGCGCAUAAUAAAAAAUCUAGGCCAAUAAGAAAACGGUAAUGUUACCUGAUGAACGUUCGCUCAAAUGGCAUUUCGAACGAUUUUUAUGGCAUUUUUAGUUGUGUGGAAUGACAGUUUUUCAGAGUGACAUGGCAUUUUCUGGCCAAAUAUGAGGUCCCAUAAGAAAAUAUGUGUUAAGAAAAUAUGUGUUAGGGCAUUCCAAUUUUAAGACACUGGAAUCCCCUCAAAAGAAAAAAAAUCAAGACAAUGGAAGAAUAAUAACAGCACCAUAGUUUAAACUGUGUAUAUACUCUCUCGAUUUCAACAUAAUUAAUGUUCUAAGAUUGUCCUGAGUCAAAUUUCAUUAUGUUUGACCAAGUCUAUAACAAAAUUUACCAACAUCUACGAAACCAAAUUUACUUCACUAGAUUCAUUAUGAAACGAAUUUUUCUUAUAUAUAUAUAUAUAUAUAUAUACAUAUAUAUAUAUAGGAAAAUGGUUGUGUACUUCUGGGAGUACGUACUCCCGCUCCUCAUAUACCACAUAAAUGAGUUUUCUAUACCUCUUUAUUAUUUUUAAUAUACUUCAUUAGUAAUUAUUAGAUACCCCAAAAUGAGUUUCAUGGAAAAAUUCAUGUGAGUCUACAUAUUUCUAAAUGUUUACGUAUAUACUGAUGUGUUUGUACGUGAAAAAGGUAUAUUACAAAAAGUACGUCCCAGAUGAUAUUUUUUCAACAAAACUCAUAUUGAGGUAUCUUAAAAUAUUUAAUGAAGUAUAUUGAGAAUGAUAAAGAGGUAUAAUUAAUACGUAUAUGAUGUAUAUUGAGGAUGGGAGUACAUACUCCUAGGAGUACAGAAAAGGAGUCCUAUAUAUAUAUAUAUAUUUGAUUUCACAGAUGUUUGCGGAUUAUUAUAUAGACUUGGUCAAUUUUUAAAAAGUUGACUUAAAAAAAUCCUAGAACUUCAAUCAUUUUGGAAUGGAUGGAGUAUUAACUUCUUUUGUUUUUGUUUUUGUGAGAGCUACGUGUAUAUCCAGCUUGCCAUGAUUGAAAUCUUGAAGUAGUUCCAAGAGAUCUCAACGUACCAAAGGCCAAUUUGUCGGGAAAGAAAAAUCAACCAAGAAUCAUUAUGUUCAGUCUAGAAAAAGUGUUUCUAAACUCCAAUAGAGUAACAAUUUCAAGUAAAAUUGCUUGAUCAACUUCAGAAAAAUCAAGAGGAAUCAAUAAAUGAAAAAAAGACCAAUACACGACCAAAACAAAAAUGUUACACUUACAGGCCUAGGGUUACGGAGGAACUUACAGGAGGACAUGUCCCAAUACAAUUAUAACUGGCCAUGGGAAACCCGGCCCGGUCGACAUAACCCGACCCGGUCUUGCCCACAGGCCGGGCCUGGGCCUAAGUUUUGAGCCCGAAGGCCAGGUCUGUUGGGAAACGUGUAGAAAACAAAACAAAAAUUCGCCCUACGAACACCCAAGAACAAUAUGAAGAUGCAUAACAGGUUGUGAUCAAUGAUCAUUACCGACUCGAGGAGUGCACCGGAAGUAGACGAGUCGGUGUAGAUUGUACUUGAAGUCCCUCAAAUGUUGAUGACGAUCCUGCGAACCGCCCAUGAAUGAUCCCUCGAACAGAAGACCAAAAGCACGAUCUCUCUACUUGAUUGCAGCAGCGCUUCGCCGUCCAGAGCUAAUCGUCGCCGGAGAAUUAGAGGGAGAAGAUUAGAACCACACGGGGCUUCUAAUUAUGAGGAUUAAAGGUGGCUAGGGUUCGCUUUAAUUAGUCAACUAGGACCAACUAGAACAUGCACUAGAUCAAUUAGAGGAGGCUCCAAAACUUGUAUCUCAUAGGGUGAAAAUCCUGUAGUAUAUAUGAUUGGGGGUAGGGGGCUGCCACCAAGGGGGAAAGAGCCCCUUUGGGGCGCUGGCCAAGGGAAGGGGGGUAAUAGGAUCCCCCCCCCUUAGGAAAGGGGGGACUCCUCCCUUGUUGGGCCCUUGUGGCCCAACUCCUUCUCCACCUCUUGGCCUUAUUUGGCCCGUUGAUAUUAAAUUAAAUAUAUUUUUGUUCUAAACAUUUCCAAAGCAUAAUAUAUAUAAUUUAAAAUCUCCGGAAACAUUUUCCACCUAUAUAUAUUAAUCGGUAAUACCCGAUAUUCACCGAAACCCUUUCGAUGACCCCGAAACGCUUCCGAAACCUCUCGGAACUAUUCCGAAUAUUAAUGAAACAAUUUCACAAAUAUAUUCUCAUCACUCCCAUCCUACUAACUCUCAAUAUAUCAUGAUUACUUUAAGAUCGUGACCCCAUAGGUUCGGUAACCAUAGACAUGAACAAAACCCCUUCGUUCAGUGACCGAUAGCGGAACCGUGGACAUCCAUAUUGGUCCCUAUGACUACAUGAAUGAUUUUCGAGUGAACCUUUGGUUAUCAUGUGAUGUUCCCUUCGCUUCGCAAUACUUUACAAAAUCUGGUGUGCAUCGGUAUCCUCUUGAGUCAUCACCAUGCUCACUAUACCGUUGCUCCCAUUACCGAUUUUGUUCUUCUUUCUUGUUGACGUGUUACAACAUCCCUGUGACGUAGUCACCUGUGGCUGGCCAAACAAUAAUGGAUGCCUUCACACCAAGAGGGAACUAAGAAUAUCUCUCCAUCGUUGGAGGAGCAGAUCCCACCCUCAAGCUGUCCGGUCACUUGUCAAACUUUCCGGUGAGCUUGAAAGUUGUCGUUAUGAUCACCUUGUUACAUAUGACGUUUGAGCAACCCCAAAGCCCACUGCCUGAUAGGAAGUGAUCGAGACACUCUCAUGGUCUGAGGAACUAAAACACAUGCUAACACUUCGUGUUAUAACAGAUGAUUUCAGACGAUAUGAUCACCUAGUAUAACAGACAAGUAUUGGGUCGAUUCAAUAUGAUAAGUUGUUCUAGCAAAUAAUUGGCAACCAAACUAGACAUACUCCCUCCGCCCGGUGAAGAGUGUACGUUUGACUUUAAAAUUUGUCCACAAAAAAGUGUACUUCUAUCUUCCUAGUGCACUUUAAUGUACAAAAAAAUGUUGUUCUCUCAUCACACGAUAAUCAAGACCAAUAACAUUCUACACAUGGUCUCCUUAAUUUCUACAUACACUUAGCUCAUUAGGGGUUGGGUAAUUAAAAAGGAGAGAGAUGAUGUCUUGUAUCUUCCCAAUGCGUUUUUUAUUUCACUUUAUAAUUUAUUUUAAAAUUUCUAUCGAAAAAGCUAUUUUCCAGUCGACGGGCGUGAACGAUUUGCGAACCCUCCGAUCCGCUUCUGCUCUAGCACGUAAAAAGAGCUCCAAAAAAAUAGUGUCCCUACUAGGAUUUGAAUACACACCAGUUGGUUGUGGCCACGAUGCGCUACCAGUUGAGAUGACUAUCUAUUCUGUUUCAUUUGCAGAUUAAUUGGUAUUUCUACCUUAAUAAAUUCUAAAAAUGCUGAUAUUUUUUAGAUGUUCAUGUUAGUGUAACAAGCGUGCUUGUCAAUUUUCAUGCAAAACGGGAUAGCGUCGCUUCGUUUUUUAAGAUAACAUUUGUUGUUCAACUUGUUUUUUUUUUGUUUUUGCACAUGUCAACAUGCUUGAAGGGGAGCCUUGGCGCAGUGGUAAAGCUGCUGCCUUGUGACCAUGAGGUCAUGGGUUCAAGUCCUGGAAACAGCCUCUUACAGAAAUGUAGGGAAAGGCUGCGUACUAUAGACCCAAAGUGGUCGGACCUUUCUCUGGACCCUGCGCAAGCGGGAGCUACAUGCACCAGGUUGCACAUGUCAACAUGCUUAANNNNNNNNNNNNNNNNNNNNNNNNNNNNNNNNNNNNNNNNNNNNNNNNNNNNNNNNNNNNNNNNNNNNNNNNNNNNNNNNNNNNNNNNNNNNNNNNNNNNNNNNNNNNNNNNNNNNNNNNNNNNNNNNNNNNNNNNNNNNNNNNNNNNNNNNNNNNNNNNNNNNNNNNNNNNNNNNNNNNNNNNNNNNNNNNNNNNNNNNNNNNNNNNNNNNNNNNNNNNNNNNNNNNNNUUUUUUUUGUGGCAUCAAACACUCUACACUAGUCCUGUAGGAUUCAAAUUCAAAUGAGCAUACCACUCCAGUCGUGUAUUCAUUCUAUUCCUGCCUUUUGAGAAUCCUGCGAAUUAAAGAGGGCCUAAAUGUGUAACCCGCUGACAAGUGAGGUCCAUGCGACAUAAGAACUACUUCCUCCGUUCCAUAAUAUAAGAACGUUUUUCAAACUAACAUAGUUUGGAAAACGUUCUUAUAUUAUGGGACAUAGGGAGUAUAUAAAAGGUUAUAGUUUUAGAGAAUCUGAGAAAGUGGAGGGCUUCAAAACCUUUGAAGGAGAAGCCAUUCUAAAGCUCUCUGUUUAGGGAAUCUUUUAGAGUUGCUCUUAGCAAGUCAUGGCUAGUGACAAAUCAAGUGUUAUAUAAGGAGGUAAGGCGACCUAAGGCGAGCACCACCGGCGCCUUAUCACCUAAGUGUCUAAGGCAGGAUGCCUUAAAACGAUUUAUAUCAAUUAUUUGAUACCGCCUUUUAUUUUUAUCUUUUUUAGAAAUACUUGUAACUACAAAUACAAUGUUUUGGAUGAAGAUCCAAAAAAUUACAAAGUAAUUCCUAAAAGUAGGAAUUGCAAUUAAACCACUUAAACCACUAUUUCAAAAUUUGUACCAUGAUCUAAAGGGUGUCACAUGAUUCAUGUUAGUCAAAUUUCUGUGCCAGAAUGCCUCAACACACGUACCCCAGAUCUGAAACAUGAUUAACUUAAGUGUAAACACAAGAAUGUGUAAUGUCUGGACAGAUUUAGCCAAACAGAAGAAGAAUAUCAGCUCCCCCCUCUCCAGUUAAUGUCGGCGUCUAGAAAAGGGUAAAGCGCAGCUCUUGACAAACUUAGCACUAACCAAAUGUGGCAAGAGGGGGACAGGUCCGAAAACAAGGCCUUAACACAAACAUGAUUAGUAACCCUCGAUACUGAUUUUCCCGUCUGGGAUGAAGAUCGGUAGCAGCGCCUGCACCAACGUACCGAUCCUAGGAUCAUCUUUGCUGCAGCAUAUCUUGAUUCUCUCGAUACGAGGAUAGCCCCUGAUUGCCGGUGCUCGCCUUGAUGGUAAUGAAGCAGAUUCAACCUCCUUGCGUGUUUCACAGUGCUCCUGCGGCGUGUCAAAACCACACGGGAGUAUCAGCUUUGAUCAUUCUGAUGCUGUAGCAAAGCAGUGCCAGCUAGACAUACAUAUCUGGGAGAAGUAUUACCAUCUUGAGCUUAACAGUUAGCUCUUUCAGCAUGGGCGAGCGAUGGACAAUACGGAACAGUGGGUAGAAGUCAGCAGCCAUGCACCAAUCACCCAG